GCUUGUCUCAAAGAUUAAGCCAUGCAUGUCUAAGUAUAGCAUCUAUACCGUGAAACUGCGAAUGGCUCAUUAAAUCAGUUAUCGUUUAUUUGAUAGUACCUUACUACUUGGAUACCAGUGGUAAUUCUAGAGCUAAUACAUGCUUAGAACCCCGACUUCGGAAGGGGUGUGUUUAUUAGAUAUAAAACCAACGCCCUUCGGGGCUUCUUGGUGAUUCAUGAUAACCUCACGGAUCGCAUGGCCUUGCGCCGGCGACGGUUCAUUCAAAUUUCUGCCCUAUCAACUUUCGAUGGUAAGGUAUUGGCUUACCAUGGUCUCAACGGGUGACGGGGAAUUAGGGUUCGAUUCCGGAGAGUGAGCCUGAGAAACGGCUAACACAUCCAAGGAAGGCAGCAGG
This 397-nucleotide ribosomal RNA is filed under the name Phragmogibbera herbicola. RNAcentral's name for it is "partial small subunit ribosomal RNA". It matches the Rfam family "Eukaryotic small subunit ribosomal RNA", at positions 30 to 432 of the family's 1831-position model. Lineage: Eukaryota; Fungi; Ascomycota; Dothideomycetes; Venturiales; Venturiaceae. The record is from RNAcentral.